Molecule: long non-coding RNA, 387 nt
Organism: Amblyraja radiata (thorny skate)
Lineage: Eukaryota; Metazoa; Chordata; Chondrichthyes; Rajiformes; Rajidae
Exons: 2
Source: RefSeq, a predicted model, not a curated record
GUCGAGACCCUAAUUCAGACUGAGAGUCAGCGGAGAAGGAAACUAGAGGGUUCCAAGAUGUUAGUUCUCAUUGUAGGGAAGAGCUGCAGAUGCUGGUUUAAAUCGAAGGUAGACACAAAAUGCUGGAGUAGCUCAGCGGGACUGGCAGCAUCUCUGGAGAGAAGAAAUGGGUGGCGUUUCGUGUCGAGACCCUUCUUCAGACUCAUGUUCAUUCUCAUGUUGUGCAUCAUCCAAUGUAAAAUCCUACCAGUUUAUGCACCUCUGGGAUGGGAUUAUGAUGCCGAUCAUUCCCACUCUAAGUUUCAAUUCAUAGCUUCCCAGAUGGAUCCAACUACGCAGUGUUUAUUUUAUCAAUAAAAAUGUUGCCAUGGUCACAUGUUGAAAAUA